RNAcentral lists this transfer RNA (73 nucleotides) under Cellulomonadaceae bacterium. Its description in RNAcentral is "tRNA-Ala". It matches the Rfam family "tRNA". From Rfam's summary of the family: Transfer RNA (tRNA) molecules are approximately 80 nucleotides in length. Their secondary structure includes four short double-helical elements and three loops (D, anti-codon, and T loops). The record is from RNAcentral. Lineage: Bacteria; Bacillati; Actinomycetota; Actinomycetes; Micrococcales; Cellulomonadaceae.
GGGGCCGUAGCUCAAUUGGUAGAGCGCCUGCUUUGCAAGCAGGAGGUCGCGGGUUCGAUUCCCGCCGGCUCCA